GACGAACGCUGGCGGCGUGCCUAACACAUGCAAGUCGAACGGAACUGUUUUGAAAGAUUUCUUCGGAAUGAAUUUGAUUUAGUUUAGUGGCGGACGGGUGAGUAACGCGUGAGUAACCUGCCUUCAAGAGGGGAAUAACAUUCUGAAAAGAAUGCUAAUACCGCAUGACAUAUCGGAACCACAUGGCUUUGAUUUCAAAGAUUUUAUCGCUUGAAGAUGGACUCGCGUCCGAUUAGUUAGUUGGUGAGGUAACGGCUCACCAAGACCGCGAUCGGUAGCCGGACUGGGAGGUUGACCGGCCACGUUGGGACUGAGACACGGCCCAGACUCCUACGGGAGGCAGCAGUGGGGGAUAUUGCGCAAUGGGGGCAACCCUGACGCAGCAACGCCGCGUGAAGGAUGAAGGUUUUCGGAUUGUAAACUUCUUUUAUUAAGGACGAAAAAUGACGGUACUUAAUGAAUAAGCUCCGGCUAACUACGUG
This 482-nucleotide ribosomal RNA is filed under the name uncultured bacterium. RNAcentral describes it as "partial 16S ribosomal RNA". It matches the Rfam family "Bacterial small subunit ribosomal RNA", at positions 28 to 507 of the family's 1533-position model. The record is from RNAcentral.